RNAcentral lists this long non-coding RNA (1142 nucleotides) under Callithrix jacchus (white-tufted-ear marmoset). Its description in RNAcentral is "lncRNA (ENSCJAG00000052080.2)". The record is from RNAcentral. Lineage: Eukaryota; Metazoa; Chordata; Mammalia; Primates; Cebidae.
UUGUCUGACUGACACCCAAGAUUGCCUUGUAAAUUCCCUCUGAAUAAAUAUUUGACUACUUACCAACCUUGAAGGGUCUGCCUCUUUCUUUGGCCUGAGCUUAUGAAGAGCAGUUCUUGGUUCUGACAAAGUGUUUUCCCAAUACAAAGGGUUUAGACCCUCUAAGGAUGCAUAACUAGCCAAGGCAGAAAACCAGUCUCUUUGCCACAUAAGAUUUUAAUUCCAACAUUACUCCACAAUUAAUUGAUAAUAUACUAUAUCAUCUUUAUUUUUACUAUUGUUAGUUAAAAAUGUGGGUUUUUUGUUUGUUUGUUUCUUUCAAGUCAAGAAUCUACUAUAGCUGUUUAUGGUCUAUCAUAUUAGAUCUAAAUUCCAGUUGUUAUUUAAAUUUUUCAAUCUAGUAUCACCUAAUAUGAAUUAUCUCUCCAAUUAAUUUGGUUUCAGGUUAUUUUUCACUGAAGCCAGGGAGUACAAAUUAGGUCUGAAACCUGUAAGUUUUAAAACAGGGUCUGCCUUGGGAAAUCUAGGGCAUCAGGUUCUUAGAUGAUAGGACAAUGCAAGCCAGGCAGUAGUGUCUUAGCUAAGCACCCUCUGAGCCAGUGAGCAGUUGGCUCUAUUUAAAUCAGUUAAAAAUAGACUAACCAGCAGUUAAAAUUUUCAGCACAGCAAAAAGCAGUGAGGACAAGGUUUAUUCUUUGAUCUCUAAAGGUUUGCUUCAUUGAGCCUGAUAAUGGUGCAUGACGUGAAGAAUGUUAGCUAUACUGUGGUCUCACAUUACCUUGGUUUUACUUAGUCAUCAGUGUAAUUUAUCUAAGGGCAACUUGCCGCUAAAAAAAGAGCUCAGCUUGAAGGCUUCUAGCUUACACAGCAGGAGUUUCUGGAAAUUUUACUGCUGGUGGUGGUGGAUAGAAGGCAGAGAUAUGGCCAGUAUCAAACGAGAUUAUGUCCUGGGAAUUCAGAGAUUACAGUCUGAAGAAUUCAAGGAAUCAGCUGUGCCAGAUGGAAUCUUUCAGCACAGAUGUCCUUGGAAUAAGGACAGGAUGAAAGCAAAUCUGGGUGAGGAGCUAGUGAAAGGCAGUAUGGACUCACCAGCUGGCCCUGAGCACCGAUUCCUCCAUAUUCCUCCAUCUUAUAAACUAUGA